AUCUUUUAAAUGUAUGGCUUGGUAUGAGUGAGAGAAGAUUGGCUGGAAACUUAAUAUUAUACGAUUCCCUUGACGAGUACGAGUGUGUUUAGAAUGUCAGAGAACACCGCUUGAAAUAAUCAUGAAUAUUGACUAAAGAAUAUUCUCGAUCUGGAAGUAAGGGAAAGUUUAUAACAUUUAUGAUCGCAAAUAGUCGACAAUUUUCGACAAAUGAUGAUAGAGGUUAUAAUGAAUAUAUAUAAGUAACCAAUAGGACCAGCAUUACGUCGUCGUCGUACAAUCAUUUGUUAUUAUUUUCUGAUAUUGUACUAUGUCAACGAUGAGUGUGUAUAAUGAAAACUUCUUGCGCUUGCUGUUUUAAAUUACAAGCUAACGAAAAUAAUAACAUUUCUUUUUACAAGUUCCCACAAGAUGAAACUCUCCGAAAGAUAAUUCUCCACGAUGUAACGGAAAUUUUUUAGACUUGUAAAUCAAUGGAAACUAAAUUUUAAAUGUUUCUCAGUUAUUCAAGUCAUUGGACACCAAACAUGAAAUUGACAUAGUUUUAAGAAUCAAUACCAAUUCUGAUUAUGAAACUUAAACUCCAACCUCAAUGAUGGGAAACGAGCUAAAUCAAGAUUCAUGGAGUGUAUCUGAUUACGCAAAUAAUGUUGUCGUAUAAAUUGCUGGCAAAAGUAUCAAAGCAUUUUGAGUGUGAUAUAUGCUGGUAGAGUCUAAUCCAAAAUCAGGUCUUUUGGGCUUCUAGAGAAUAAAAGAUCAAGGAGGAUUACUUUCAGUUUUAGAGGACGUGGUAAAACAUGUAUGAAAAAAUUUUCUUUUUUUAUUGUCGAGCUCAUUAUUACUAUAUUAGUUAGUUUUCUGUCCACAUUUAUGAUAACGAUAGUCAUGCAUUUGAACAAACCAUCUUAUCGGAUCAUAAAAUGCAGCUUCUAAAGCUCAUGGUAAAAAAAUAUUUCAAUAUCUGAUUAUACCACGGAGGAGCAUUUAAGCUUAAUUCAAUUUAGUGACUUACAAACAUGUGUAAUAAUUUAUUAUUUUUCAGAAUCCGUUAAUUUGAUUUAAUAUUCUGUCUAUAAAGUUGCAUAAUUACAGUAUGCAUAUAUUCAUUGCACUAUUUAAAAAAAAUUAGGUUUCAAAAAAAGCCGUCUCUUGUUAUCAAAUGUACUACAGAUAGUGUGUGUGUGCACAAAUACAUGAUAUAUUGUAAAUUUUUUAUUCUUUCGGUCUUAUUUGAGCUGUAGAAAGGAAAUUAGGAAAUUUGACAGAUAUCAACAACUGAUGAGGUUGAAUUGUCGCUUACCGUGCUCUCUAAGUUCUGUACCAUUAUUCAUACACAGGUACUUCCCUUCCUGCGAAGCUAGUCUACGCAGAGAGAAAUAGAACAUAGUAUCUCCAUUCUCUGUCUCUCUCAGUCUACUUUUAUCACUUUUAUUACUGCUUCAGACUAUAUUCAAAAUUUGUAUAUAGAAGAUCCAUGCCAUGAACACAUGUAAUACUUAACAUGGUAAAAAAAAAUUAUUCCUUUAUUAGAAUUUAUUAAGAAAAUAUAGUUUCCAUUUGGGAUACAUUGACAAAAUUUAAUAAUUUAAAAAAUAAUUUUAAAAAUUGACAAAAAUUAAUAAUUAUUUUCCUUGUUUCUUUCAUAACGCCUAUAGAUUAGAUUAAUUUUUUUUUAAGCUUUGCGAUAAAAUUUAUAUUUAUUAUAGUAAUAUGAUCAUGAAGUUUCUCUAUAAUUUCAAGAUCAUCUCCUAGUUUCUUGAAGCAGAAAAAAUAACAAAACAAUAAAUUUCUUUCGAUGAAUAAGAAAGUAUUAUUUAGUAGGGUAAAUAUCUACAUAUUACAUCUAUCUCUUUGUAUUCCGUUUCUAUUUCGUAAUAUAUAUGUAACGAAAUAUUACUAUUUAUAUUUUGUCACCUUUACUAAUAAUUUAAAUUGGCCGCUGUCUUACAGUUAAGAGGCGCAGGCGUAUUAGGCUUAGAAAGAUUCGGGAACGUUAAUAACGAGACAGAAAAUAUAGAAACGGUUAGUAGUUUGCUAAGCAGAGACGGUUAGAGUUCAAAUUGCGAAGCUAGUGAUAAGACAAUAAAAUAAGAGUGAAUAUUAGCUGUAAAUGUUAUUUCUCUUAUUUGCAGGUAAUGCAACUAAUGUAUAUAGUGUAGUUUUUAGUGUAAUUUGUAUUUGUACAAUGUAACGCAAUGCAGAUAAUGUAGUUUAGUGUGAAUAAUAUUAAUAAAAUAAUCGAGAGAAUCUCUUAUUUGCAGAAA
RNAcentral lists this long non-coding RNA (2264 nucleotides) under Polistes fuscatus (common paper wasp). RNAcentral describes it as "uncharacterized LOC122526639". Lineage: Eukaryota; Metazoa; Arthropoda; Insecta; Hymenoptera; Vespidae. The record is from RNAcentral.